This is a long non-coding RNA of Carassius carassius (crucian carp), 127 nucleotides long. RefSeq lists it as uncharacterized. The transcript has 2 exons. The record is from RefSeq and is a predicted model, not a curated record. Lineage: Eukaryota; Metazoa; Chordata; Actinopteri; Cypriniformes; Cyprinidae.
CUGACUGUAGCGAAUAAUUUAAAUAUUUAACACUCUCAGUAUCAGUGCUUUUACCUUCUUAAAGUUCUCUUCAUCGUUUCUUCUUAUUUCUUCACAAGACUGGACCAAUAAAAUCGUUUGUGAAUCU